GGCGCCUCCGGGCGAGCCGCCAUUUUGGGCCCUGGGGCAGGGGUGUGGGGGCACCUCCAGCGCCUUGUUCCGGAAUGUUGGAGCCUGUUCCCUGCUGACCGGCUGAAAUAGCCUCUCCACGUAAAUAAAUUAUCCUCCAAUUCCUGCAAUUCUUCUGUCCACGCUGAGUUGCAGCUCCUGGGGCAAACCCUUGCAAAGAGGAGUGAAGGUGUCACUCAGAGAUGGCUGCCUAGCAGGUUGGGCAGAGCUGCCACCACCAUCACUGAUGAAAACACACAGAAAAGGGGAAAAGGAAAAUACCUGCAAACGUCCUAAUGCUGCAAGGAUGCAGUGAGGGGCAAGGCAGCGACUGGAUGUGAGAACCAGAGCUGUGUGAGGCUGAAUUGACCUUUAAUGAAAACCAAUAAUCAGCUGCUUAGUCUGAAAGCUCGUCAUGCCAGGAAUAUUCUUUAUUUCCCCAGGGUUUGUUCCCCCAACACGCUGUGGGUGGUCACGCAGCCGUACCCAUCCCACAGAGAGCAGCUGAACAACUCCAGCACACAAGCGAGCGUUUUGUAGCCCAUGACCUUUAAUAUCAAAAGCACAUUUCUCUCUCCAUCCCGGGGGUCAAGGGGAUGAUAGUCACCAGCUUUUGCAGUUUUCUGCAGCAAUUAGCCACUGCUCUCCUUCUUGGGGACUGAGACAUUAUCAGACAUUUGCCGUGGAAGAGGUUUGGGGUUUUUUUUUCUGUGCGAAAUCAACAAAAGAAUUAAAUAAAGGAAGCAUUGCGAAGUCCUGUACAUUUCUGUGGGUUUACUCAGAACAGAUUUAACGCAAUUUCACAGCUUUUAGCUGGGAAGUUAAAUAAACGCAAACAAAACUAAUUUAAAUAAUAUUUUUAAAAUAAACUCCCCUUUAGCCCUCAGAAAUAGUAGCCUCCAUACUUGAACAGUGCUGUAAAGCAGACGAAUUUAAAGGCAGUGCCAUCUGACUGGGUUUGCUUUCACUUGCAAGGCACAGCCUUCCCCUCCCUCAGCAAUUAUCAGCAGUGUCCAGGCUGCUGUCCAUGAUAAUGCUGUGCAACUCAAGGGUGAUGGAGGCCCUGAUGAAGGAGGUGUAAAAGAAAAUAGAACUUCACGUCUGCAAAUCGAUUCUGCAGUUUUCCAAUUUCCCCAUUCGGCAGCGGCACGGCCUGUGAAAUUGUCCCUAGAAAUAUAAAACGAAGGGCUGGAGAAUUCCUCCACUCUUGCCUUUUAGCAAAUGACAUUGCCUGAUACAGUUCAUUUCCUUCGGUGUGGGCGCGUGGGCUGGGCUGGAUGAGUGUUCAAAAUGCAGAAGUCAAAUGUAGAAUGUUUUUUAAUACAGAUCCCACACUGAACAAGCCCUUUGGAGCACAAGCUUUUCUCGAAAUAGCUUAUCUUUGUAUGUUUUCUGGUGGAGCAAAUAAAUUGCCAUACAAAUAGGUUUAGAUGUGCUUUAAGAGGCUUCAGUAGCAGGAUUUUCACUUGGACUGAAGCCUUUCUCAAGUGUAAUAACACCAUCACCCCCUCCCCUCUAUGGAAACCUCCAUUAGAACUCCCAAGCACUCAGAGGGUGUAGAACUGAGAAGCAUUCCCAUGGAAGUCCAGGGAUCUGGAUUUCCCCCCCAGCUCUGCAUAUUAUUCACUGGAUUUCUGAAGGGCAGAGUGAGACGUGUUGUCUGUGCAAGUUGCUCUGAAAUCCGUGGAAGUCACACCCCACGUUAAAGUUUCAUAUGACAAAUGGCAAUUGCAUUACACACAAAUAUUUCUGUUUUUCAGAAAUUACAAGAUGCUUGAAGAGUUCCCUCUCCCUUUCCCCCUGAUGCAUCCUUCUCUCUCCUGACAUUGUUUACUCAGGGAAGCAACAAAGGCCCAUAUUUAGUGUAGAAGUAAGAAAAUUGGGCUUUUGGCUUGGUGCUGCUACUAAUUUACUGCAUGCUGUUGAUCAAGUAAUUUGAUUUCAUGGAUUUGGGCUUGCCAGAAGACAACAGGGAGCUGUGAAUAGAUUUAUUCAUGUAAAUUCCUUUAUCUUGUAAUAUUUUUUUGUAUGUAUUUUAAUAAUUUUUGGUACUUUUUUUUUUUUAAUUCUUCUGGUCAGCAAAGCACUGAAACUGUUGGUACCGUUUUCAGAUUUUGCAAGAAUUUGAAAUCCUUGUUAUUGAGGGACUGGGAUGCUUGCACUUAUGCUUUAAUUUCACACCUAAUUUAUCAUUCCUGAAGAUAAAGCUUGAAAACUUAUAGCUGAAAACACUUGGUAGAGAAAUUUUCCCGCUUGAUAGUCCAAAGGUUCAAAAUAAAAGUUAAGUAAUAUCGACUGAUAAGAAACACAGAGUCCAUGUCUGUCUUUCAUAAGUGACUAGAAACAUUGCCCCCCUUAUGAACUCAGAACUGGCACUGCAUGUUCUGGGAUUCCUGCCUUCAGAAUAAAGAAUGUCUUUGUCAUGAGCCCAAGAAAGAAAAGAGUGAAAGGAAAAAGUUUCAGGACAAAAUACAAACUUUUUCAGAUAUUUGAGAACUUGAAAGAUAGCAGAGAAAGGAAGGGCCAGCCUACUCACACACACACCAUGCAGCCCAAACGGAGGAAACUAAGGGCUGCAGAAGCUUGACAAGACUUUAGAGUUUUUCAUGGAAACAUUAGAAAGGUGGAAUUUUUCAUGACUCCUGAGUUUACCAAAAAAAAAAAAAAACCAAACCAAAGCCCAAACAAAAAAACCAACCAAACAAAAACCACAAAAACAAAAACAAACAAACAAAAGAACAAAAAAACCCCACCAGAUAACCUCACAAUAAUUUCCAGUAAAAUUGUUUAACUAUAAAAUUUAAAUACAAGACUACUAAAAAAAGUAACAUUACUUGCUAUCUCUCAAGUAUGUCUCAAUUACUAUUUACUAUUCUUGAGUUACAUGUACCUGUUAAUUUGUGCUGUGACUCUGUGAGAAGUAAUAGAGCUGAUGCAGCUUCACUCCCAAAACCCCUCAUAUUUUAAUUGGAAAAAUCUUGGUAUUCACUGUGGAACAAUCUAACCUUGAAAAACAAUCUUUUACCAGUUGGUCUUUAAUGCAUAAAACACUGCUCAUUUUCUGCAGUUCUGUCACCAAGGGGCACAUUAAUUUAGUUGCACAAUAAUUUAAUACAUCGAUCCAUUGAUUGAAGCAGAGAGGUUUUUGUUUAGCGGUUCCAAGAAAUCCACACAUUUCUUGCAGAAUCCGUAAAAAGACAGUUCUGGCUGUGGUUUAAGUAGGGGAAUUGCGGAUCAUUAGGGAAAGUUGCCCUUCAAAGCCGAUCGAUCCCGCCACACUGAGCACAGUGGGCAUUACAUCAGAAGAGAGGGAAGAGUGGCAGGGGGCAAUUAAUGGGGCAGAUAUGGGAGUGCCUUUCCUGAUUACCCCAUACCAGACAGUGGAUUUGGCCUUGCUGAGCCAGGCUGGUAGAAACAAGAACCCCGAUGAGAUACGGCUCUGUUAAUGUCAAGAAGUGCCACUUCCGAGCAGCAGGAGCAACUUUAUUGGAGCCAUCUGUUGUUUUGGAAGGCACGUGUGCGCACACACACACCCACUUCCUCCUCCCAAAGCAUUUAACCUUCCUCUUAGGGCUGAAAUCGCACAGCUAAUCCCUCCUUAAUCUUGGAAUGACGGGCUCUGAUGUUGUCAGCGAGUCCCAGCAGCUACUGAAAAUCAGGGGUACUGGAGUCGUUUGGGUGACGUGACAGUGAUGCAUCCUGGAGCAGCCACUUGAGAACAAAAUGCCCAUUCAUCCACUGUCAAAAUAAAGUUUGGCAAGAGCAGUGUGUGAUUGCUGGGAGGCUGACAGAGAAGGCUGGGGAACCUGUGUAGAGGUGAGAAAUCUGCACUCUGCCAGAUCUCACUGCUCUGCCCGACACAGGGAGUAGGAAAAGGCGGCUGAGUUUGGUCCCGGUGGAAACCUUAUUUUUCAGCAGGUAUAACCCAAUAGCCAUCUCAAAGGAAACAGCCCUUUGUUUCAGUUACAGCAGAGUGUGAGCUCUGUCCUGACUUGUCAAGUCUCUAGUGGUAUUUUUGUGAUGAUUCUUCCUUAACACACCAGAACCCUCAAGCUUCUCGUGGCUGUGUUAGAGGUGUGCACCAGAGCCCAGGCUGCCAGCAGAAAAUGUGGCACUGCUGAGCAUCCACCAAGACUGAAAUAGCUCCAGCUUCUUUGCAGAUUCUUCUGGCUACUUCCUGUCUACUUCCAGAGGGCCUGGAUCAAACAGACCUUUGCAAUGAUGGAAGAGGUAACAUCAGAGAAGAACAAGGACUUCUUGCUGCCCUUUCUUUCCUCCAUCCAUAUUUACUUCUACCUACAUGUGUGUGUGUUAUUAAAACUCUGCAUUUCACAUGGACAAACCCA
Molecule: long non-coding RNA, 4364 nt
Organism: Pseudopipra pipra
Lineage: Eukaryota; Metazoa; Chordata; Aves; Passeriformes; Pipridae
Exons: 2
Source: RefSeq, a predicted model, not a curated record